UGGGGAAUCUUGCACAAUGGGGGCAACCCUGAUGCAGCGACGCCGCGUGAGCGAUGAAGCCCUUCGGGGUGUAAAGCUCUUUCGGCAGGGAAGAUUAUGACGGUACCUGCAGAAGCAGCUGCGGCUAACUACGUGCCAGCAGCCGCGGUAAUACGUAGGCAGCAAGCGUUGUUCGGAGUUACUGGGCGUAAAGGGUGCGUAGGCGGUCCUGUAAGUAUGGUGUGAAAUCUCCCGGCUUAACUGGGAGGGUGCGCUAUAAACUGCGGGACUAGAGUGUGGGAGAGGAAAGUGGAAUUCCUGGUGUAGCGGUGAAAUGCGUAGAUAUCAGGAGGAACACCGGUGGUGUAAACGGCUUUCUGGACCAUAACUGGCGCUGAGGCACGAAAGCGUGGGUAGCAAACAGGAUUAGAUACCCUGGUAGUCCACGCCCUAAACGAUGCAUAUUUGGUGUGGGUCAUUCAGUUGAUCCGUGCCGGAGCUAACGCGUUAAAUAUGCCGCCUGGGGAGUACAGUCGCAAGGCUG
Molecule: ribosomal RNA, 523 nt
Filed under: uncultured bacterium
Lineage: Bacteria
Description: bacterial SSU rRNA
Rfam family: Bacterial small subunit ribosomal RNA
Source: RNAcentral